ACGCUGGCGGCAGGCCUAACACAUGCAAGUCGAACGGUAACAUUUCUAGCUUGCUAGAAGAUGACGAGUGGCGGACGGGUGAGUAAUGCUUGGGAACUUGCCUUUGCGAGGGGGAUAACAGUUGGAAACGACUGCUAAUACCGCAUAAUGUCUACGGACCAAACGGGGCUUAGGCUCCGGCGCAAAGAGAGGCCCAAGUGAGAUUAGCUAGUUGGUAAGGUAAAGGCUUACCAAGGCGACGAUCUCUAGCUGUUCUGAGAGGAAGAUCAGCCACACUGGGACUGAGACACGGCCCAGACUCCUACGGGAGGCAGCAGUGGGGAAUAUUGCACAAUGGGGGAAACCCUGAUGCAGCCAUGCCGCGUGUGUGAAGAAGGCCUUCGGGUUGUAAAGCACUUUCAGUUGUGAGGAAAAGUUAGUAGUUAAUACCUGCUAGCCGUGACGUUAACAACAGAAGAAGCACCGGCUAACUCCGUGCCAGCAGCCGCGGUAAUACGGAGGGUGCGAGCGUUAAUCGGAAUUACUGGGCGUAAAGCGCACGCAGGCGGUUUGUUAAGCUAAAUGUGAAAGCCCCGGGCUCAACCUGGGAUGGUCAUU
RNAcentral lists this ribosomal RNA (597 nucleotides) under uncultured bacterium. Its description in RNAcentral is "bacterial SSU rRNA". It matches the Rfam family "Bacterial small subunit ribosomal RNA", at positions 33 to 627 of the family's 1533-position model. The record is from RNAcentral.